This 555-nucleotide ribosomal RNA is filed under the name uncultured archaeon. RNAcentral describes it as "bacterial SSU rRNA". It matches the Rfam family "Archaeal small subunit ribosomal RNA", at positions 325 to 879 of the family's 1478-position model. The record is from RNAcentral.
ACGGGGUGCAGCAGGCGCGAAACCUUUACACUGUACGCAAGUACGAUAGGGGGACACCGAGUGCGAGGGCAUAGAGCCCUCGCUUUUGUACACCUUAAGGUGGUGCACGAAUAAGGGCUGGGCAAGACCGGUGCCAGCCGCCGCGGUAACACCGGCAGCCCAAGUGAUGGCCGCUAUUAUUGGGCCUAAAGCGUCCGUAGCUGGCCGUUCAGGUCCGUCGGGAAAUCCACUGGCUUAACCAGUGGGCGUCCGGCGGAAACCGUUCGGCUUGGGACAGGGAGACCAGAGGGGUACGUCCGGGGUAGGAGUGAAAUCCUGUAAUCCUGGACGGACCAUCGGUGGCGAAAGCGCCUCUGGAGAACUGAUCCGACAGUGAGGGACGAAAGCUGGGGUCUCGAACCGGAUUAGAUACCCGGGUAGUCCCAGCCGUAAACGAUGCUCGCUAGGUGUGUCGCAGGCUACGAGCCUGCGAUGUGCCGUAGGGAAGCCGAGAAGCGAGCCGCCUGGGAAGUACGUCCGCAAGGAUGAAACUUAAAGGAAUUGGCGGGGGAGCAC